This 478-nucleotide ribosomal RNA is filed under the name uncultured Glomus. Its description in RNAcentral is "SSU rRNA". It matches the Rfam family "Eukaryotic small subunit ribosomal RNA", at positions 569 to 1052 of the family's 1831-position model. The record is from RNAcentral. Lineage: Eukaryota; Fungi; Glomeromycota; Glomeromycetes; Glomerales; Glomeraceae.
AGCAGCCGCGGUAAUUCCAGCUCCAAUAGCGUAUAUUAAAGUUGUUGCAGUUAAAAAGCUCGUAGUUGAAUUUCGGGGUCAGUAGAUUGGUCAUGCCUCCGGUAUGUACUGGUCUUACUGGCUCCUCCUUCCUGAUGAACCGUAAUGCCAUUAAUUUGGUGUUGCGGGGAGACUGGACUGUUACUUUGAAAAAUUAGAGUGUUUAAAGCAGGCUAACGCUUGAAUACAUUAGCAUGGAAUAAUGAAAUAGGACGUUCGAUCUUAUUUUGUUGGUUUCUAAGAUUGACGUAAUGAUUAAUAGGGAUAGUUGGGGGCAUUAGUAUUCAAUUGUCAGAGGUGAAAUUCUUGGAUUUAUUGAAGACUAACUACUGCGAAAGCAUUUGCCAAGGAUGUUUUCAUUAAUCAAGAACGAAAGUUAGGGGAUCGAAGACGAUCAGAUACCGUCGUAGUCUUAACCAUAAACUAUGCCGACUAGGGA